This 468-nucleotide ribosomal RNA is filed under the name uncultured bacterium. RNAcentral describes it as "partial 16S ribosomal RNA". It matches the Rfam family "Bacterial small subunit ribosomal RNA", at positions 28 to 507 of the family's 1533-position model. The record is from RNAcentral.
GACGAACGCUGGCGGCGUGCUUAACACAUGCAAGUCGAACGGAAAGGCCCUGCUUUUGUGGGGUGCUCGAGUGGCGAAAGGGUGAGUAACACGUGAGUAACCUGCCCUUGACUUUGGGAUAACUUCAGGAAACUGGGGCUAAUACCGGAUAGGAGCUCCUGCUGCAUGGUGGGGGUUGGAAAGUUUCGGCGGUUGGGGAUGGACUCGCGGCUUAUCAGCUUGUUGGUGGGGUAGUGGCUUACCAAGGCUUUGACGGGUAGCCGGCCUGAGAGGGUGACCGGCCACAUUGGGACUGAGAUACGGCCCAGACUCGUACGGGAGGCAGCAGUGGGGAAUAUUGCACAAUGGGCGGAAGCCUGAUGCAGCAACGCCGCGUGCGGGAUGACGGCCUUCGGGUUGUAAACCGCUUUCGCCUGUGACGAAGCGUGAGUGACGGUAAUGGGUAAAGAAGCACCGGCUAACUACGUG